CGAGGUGUAGCGCAGUCUGGUCAGCACAUCUGUUUUGGGUACAGAGGGCCAUAGGUUUGAAUCCUGUCACCUUGA
Molecule: transfer RNA, 75 nt
Filed under: Triticum aestivum (bread wheat)
Lineage: Eukaryota; Viridiplantae; Streptophyta; Magnoliopsida; Poales; Poaceae
Also listed under: 2 other names
Rfam family: tRNA
About the family: Transfer RNA (tRNA) molecules are approximately 80 nucleotides in length. Their secondary structure includes four short double-helical elements and three loops (D, anti-codon, and T loops). Further hydrogen bonds mediate the characteristic L-shaped molecular structure. tRNAs have two regions of fundamental functional importance: the anti-codon, which is responsible for specific mRNA codon recognition, and the 3' end, to which the tRNAs corresponding amino acid is attached (by aminoacyl-tRNA synthetases). tRNAs cope with the degeneracy of the genetic code in two manners: having more than one tRNA (with a specific anti-codon) for a particular amino acid; and 'wobble' base-pairing, i.e. permitting non-standard base-pairing at the 3rd anti-codon position.
Source: Rfam by way of RNAcentral